RNAcentral lists this small nuclear RNA (23 nucleotides) under Arabidopsis thaliana (thale cress). RNAcentral describes it as "snRNA_01687". Lineage: Eukaryota; Viridiplantae; Streptophyta; Magnoliopsida; Brassicales; Brassicaceae. The record is from RNAcentral.
GAAACUCUAUCAAAACUAGCUAA